Acipenser ruthenus (sterlet) is the source of this 481-nucleotide long non-coding RNA. RefSeq lists it as uncharacterized. The transcript has 4 exons. The record is from RefSeq and is a predicted model, not a curated record. NCBI's taxonomy places the organism in Eukaryota, Metazoa, Chordata, Actinopteri, Acipenseriformes, Acipenseridae.
CCUUCACGGGGGGUGGCGGCUUGGUGACGUCACUGUAAGUCUUUAAAUACCCGCCUCUCACGUCGUCACGUUCUCUUGGAAUUUGCUGCCAUCUUUGGAAGACACAUCUUCCCAGGAUGCGAGCCAAGUGGAGAAAGAAGCGUAUGCGCAGGCUGAAGCGCAAAAGGAGAAAGAUGAGGCAGAGGUCUAAAUAGAGAGCUUCUCCACAGCUACUGCAGCCUGGCUGUGACUGAGCAGUGACUGCUGAGCUCAGACCCCUGAGCAGGACCCCCUCACGAGGACCGCUGUGCCUGGACAGGAUACCCCCGCCGCGGGCAGAGACACCCAUUACAGCCACCUACGUGCCGGAGACCCAUGAGACAAUCUGGAGGGGUGCAGAAAGAGCCGCCUUCCUCUGUGGAUCCCAGUGGACUCUGUACAUUCCCAGUCUGAUGCAGUAGCUUUGUACAAAAAUAAAGAACUUUUUUUUGGUUUUAAAUCA